GACGAACGCUGGCGGUGUGCUUAACACAUGCAAGUGGUGCGACGAACCAGAGCUUGCUCUGGGGCAAAGCCGCGAACGGGUGAGUAACACGUGGGUAAUCUACCCCGAUGACCGGGACAACCCGAGGAAACUCGGGCUAAUACCGGAUGUGGGACGGAGACAUAAGUCUCUUCACUAAAGGUAGCUUCGGCUUCCGCAUUGGGAGGGGCCCGCGGCCCAUUAGCUUGUUGGUGGGGUCAAGGCCUACCAAGGCAACGAUGGGUAGCUGGUCUGAGAGGACGAUCAGCCACACUGGGACUGAGACACGGCCCAGACUCCUACGGGAGGCAGCAGUGGGGAAUCUUGCGCAAUGCGCGAAAGCGUGACGCAGCAACACCGCGUGAGGGAAGAAGGCCUUAGGGUUGUAAACCUCUUUCAGAGGGGACGAAGGUUCUCCGGUGAAUAGCCGAGAGGAUUGACGGUACCGGCAGAAGAAGCUCCGGCUAACUACGUG
Molecule: ribosomal RNA, 493 nt
Filed under: uncultured bacterium
Lineage: Bacteria
Description: partial 16S ribosomal RNA
Rfam family: Bacterial small subunit ribosomal RNA
Source: RNAcentral